GUCCACGCGGUAAACGAUGACGACUAGGUGUGGGGGGGUUCAGUCCCUUCCGUGCCGCAGCUAACGCAUUAAGUCGUCCGCCUGGGGAGUACGGCCGCAAGGUUGAAACUCAAAGGAAUUGACGGGGGCCCGCACAAGCGGUGGAGCAUGUGGUUCAAUUCGAUGCAGAGCGAAGAACCUUACCUGGGCUUGACAUGCUGGAAGUAGGAGUCUGAAAGGGCAACGACCUGUUGAGUCAGGAACCAGCACAGGUGGUGCAUGGCUGUCGU
RNAcentral lists this ribosomal RNA (269 nucleotides) under uncultured bacterium. RNAcentral describes it as "partial 16S ribosomal RNA". It matches the Rfam family "Bacterial small subunit ribosomal RNA", at positions 793 to 1055 of the family's 1533-position model. The record is from RNAcentral.